Non-coding RNA from Trachymyrmex cornetzi, 73 nucleotides. The record is from Rfam. Lineage: Eukaryota; Metazoa; Arthropoda; Insecta; Hymenoptera; Formicidae.
GCCUCGGUAGUCUAAAGGCUUAGGACGCUCGCACGGAAUGCAAAAGAUCCGGGUUCGACUCUCGGCCAAGGUA